This is a non-coding RNA of Nocardia donostiensis, 65 nucleotides long. Lineage: Bacteria; Bacillati; Actinomycetota; Actinomycetes; Mycobacteriales; Nocardiaceae. The record is from Rfam.
GUCGGUCUUCGGUAGUGGCUUUUCGGCAGUUCGGAUGUGCCGGCGAGCUUCGAUCGAUGACCGCC